This 506-nucleotide ribosomal RNA is filed under the name uncultured bacterium. RNAcentral's name for it is "partial 16S ribosomal RNA". It matches the Rfam family "Bacterial small subunit ribosomal RNA", at positions 30 to 523 of the family's 1533-position model. The record is from RNAcentral.
AUUGAACGCUGGCGGCAGGCUUAACACAUGCAAGUCGAGCGGUAACAGAGAGAAGCUUGCUUCUCUGCUGACGAGCGGCGGACGGGUGAGUAAUGCCUAGGAAUCUGCCUAGUAGUGGGGGAUAACUUGCCGAAAGGUAAGCUAAUACCGCAUACGUCCUACGGGAGAAAGGAGGGGACCUUCGGGCCUCGCGCAUUUAGAUGAGCCUGGGUCGGAUUAGUUAGUUGGUGAGGUAAUGGCUCACCAAGACCGCGAUCCGUAACUGGUCUGAGAGGAUGAUCAGUCACACUGGAACUGAGACACGGUCCAGACUCCUACGGGAGGCAGCAGUGGGGAAUAUUGGACAAUGGGGGGAACCCUGAUCCAGCCAUGCCGCGUGUGUGAAGAAGGUCUUAGGAUUGUAAAGCACUUUAAGUUGGGAGGAAGAGCAGUUAACUAAUAUUUGACUGUUUUGACGUUACCGACAGAAUAAGCACCGGCUAACUUCGUGCCAGCAGCCGCCGUAA